Molecule: non-coding RNA, 553 nt
Organism: Fundulus heteroclitus (mummichog)
Lineage: Eukaryota; Metazoa; Chordata; Actinopteri; Cyprinodontiformes; Fundulidae
Source: the annotation of a RefSeq genome assembly
CAUGCUCCAGUGCUCUGGGAGAGUUUAUAGUCCUGAGAGUUGAACACUGGAGGACUGACAGCUGUCCUUCAUGACAACAGAAGACACAGAAAUCCUCCUCAUCAAAAACAUGACUUUGAUCUGCGUCCUCAUCUGGACUCUCCUCUGCUGCUGCUUCACAGAGUCCAGAGGUCAGGUCACAGUGACUCAGCCUGCAGCAGUGACAGCUGAUCUGGGAGGAUCUGCCAGGAUCCCCUGCAGAACCAGUCAGAAUGUUUAUGGCAAUAUCCAUUUAGCCUGGUACCAACAGAAAGAUGGACUAACUCCUAAGCUGCUCUUUUAUUAUGUUGGGAAUCGAGUCUCGGGAACUCCAAGUCGUUUUAAUGAUGGUGGAUCAAACUCUGACUUCACUCUGACCAUCAGUGGAGUUCAGGCUGAAGAUGCUGCAGUUUAUUACUGUCAGAGUGUUCAUUACAUCAACAGCCAGUAUGUGUUCACACAGUGAAAAACAGUCGUACAAAAACCUCCCUCAGUCAGGCUGAACAGAAACUGCAGCUGAAUGUCACAGCAGACU